This 712-nucleotide ribosomal RNA is filed under the name uncultured Capnocytophaga sp. Its description in RNAcentral is "bacterial SSU rRNA". It matches the Rfam family "Bacterial small subunit ribosomal RNA", at positions 62 to 779 of the family's 1533-position model. The record is from RNAcentral. Lineage: Bacteria; Pseudomonadati; Bacteroidota; Flavobacteriia; Flavobacteriales; Flavobacteriaceae.
UCGAGGGAGGAGCUUUCGGGCUUCGACCGGCGUACGGGUGCGUAACGCGUAUACAAUCUGCCUUUCACAUAGGGAUAGCCCGAAGAAAUUUGGAUUAAUACCUAAUGGUAUAUAGGAGCGGCAUCGUUUUUAUAUUAAAGCUACGGUGGUGAAAGAUGAGUAUGCGUUCUAUUAGCUAGUUGGAGAGGUAACGACUCCCCAAGGCGACGGUAGAUAGGGGUUCUGAGAGGGAUGUCCCCCACACUGGUACUGAGAUACGGACCAGACUCCUACGGGAGGCAGCAGUGAGGAAUAUUGGACAAUGGUCGGAAGACUGAUCCAGCCAUGCCGCGUGCAGGAUGAAGGUCCUAUGGAUUGUAAACUGCUUUUGUAAGGGAAGAAUAAGGAGUACGUGUACUUUGAUGACGGUACCUUACGAAUAAGCAUCGGCUAACUCCGUGCCAGCAGCCGCGGUAAUACGGAGGAUGCGAGCGUUAUCCGGAAUCAUUGGGUUUAAAGGGUCCGUAGGCGGGCUGAUAAGUCAGAGGUGAAAUCGUUCAGCUCAACUGAGCAACUGCCUUUGAAACUGUCAGUCUUGAAUGAUUGUGAAGUAGUUGGAAUGUGUAGUGUAGCGGUGAAAUGCUUAGAUAUUACACAGAACACCGAUUGCGAAGGCAGGAGACUAACAAAUGAUUGACGCUGAGAGACGAGAGCGUGGGGAGCGAACAGGAUU